RNAcentral lists this unclassified non-coding RNA (676 nucleotides) under uncultured Prochlorococcus sp. RNAcentral's name for it is "partial may contain 16S ribosomal RNA, 16S-23S ribosomal RNA intergenic spacer, and 23S ribosomal RNA". The stretch from base 1 to 96 matches the Rfam family "Bacterial small subunit ribosomal RNA", at positions 1438 to 1533 of the family's 1533-position model. The record is from RNAcentral. Lineage: Bacteria; Bacillati; Cyanobacteriota; Cyanophyceae; Synechococcales; Prochlorococcaceae.
CCCUUGUGGAGGAGGACGCCGAAGGUGGGGCUAAUGACUGGGGUGAAGUCGUAACAAGGUAGCCGUACCGGAAGGUGCGGCUGGAUCACCUCCUAACAGGGAGACAACAAAAUGUUAAAUAUUAAUUUUGUCACCUUAGGUCGAUCGGUAUCUCACAUUCUUGAUUUAUUCAAGGAUUUUAUUUCCUAAGUUUUUUCUAGGUCACACCCAUUACUUUCCCUGGGCCAUUAGCUCAGGUGGUUAGAGCGCACCCCUGAUAAGGGUGAGGUCCCUGGUUCAAGUCCAGGAUGGCCCAUAUCUCUAUGUUGGGGGUAUAGCUCAGUUGGUAGAGCGCCUGCUUUGCAAGCAGGAUGUCAGCGGUUCGAGUCCGCUUACCUCCACUGAUCACCACCUCUUCCAUAAUUUAUAGAAGGGAAUUGUUUUGAGAUGUGAUCAAAUUCUGAACGAAUCUAGCUUCCUAAUCAAAUUUAUUAAGAUGCUGGACUCAUUGAAUUAACUUCAUUGUUUUCAGAGAACCUUGACAACUGCAUAGAUUAUUUUUAAAGACAAUAAGCAUCUUUAAUGAUGCAGAUUUAUUAUUUGUGCGAAUGCAUUAAUAACAAUUCUAUUGAGCUGAUGCUUCAAAUUUUUGAAGUUAUUGGUCAAGCUACAAAGGGCUCACGGAGGAUACCUAGGC